Molecule: ribosomal RNA, 465 nt
Filed under: Vreelandella stevensii
Lineage: Bacteria; Pseudomonadati; Pseudomonadota; Gammaproteobacteria; Oceanospirillales; Halomonadaceae
Description: partial 16S ribosomal RNA
Rfam family: Bacterial small subunit ribosomal RNA
Source: RNAcentral
CCUACGGGGGGCUGCAGUGGGGAAUAUUGGACAAUGGGGGGAACCCUGAUCCAGCCAUGCCGCGUGUGUGAAGAAGGCCCUCGGGUUGUAAAGCACUUUCAGUGAGGAAGAACGCCUGGUGGUUAAUACCCAUCAGGAAAGACAUCACUCACAGAAGAAGCACCGGCUAACUCCGUGCCAGCAGCCGCGGUAAUACGGAGGGUGCGAGCGUUAAUCGGAAUUACUGGGCGUAAAGCGCGCGUAGGUGGCUUGAUAAGCCGGUUGUGAAAGCCCCGGGCUCAACCUGGGAACGGCAUCCGGAACUGUCAAGCUAGAGUGCAGGAGAGGAAGGUAGAAUUCCCGGUGUAGCGGUGAAAUGCGUAGAGAUCGGGAGGAAUACCAGUGGUGAAGGCGGCCUUCUGGACUGACACUGACACUGAGGUGCGAAAGCGUGGGUAGCAAACAGGAUUAGAUACCCUUGUAGUC